AAACGUUUUAUAAAAUAUGUAACAGAUGGUAUAUUGUACCAACACGAUUGAACAGAAUAGAUCCUAAUGCAUCAAAGAUGUGCUGGAGAUGUAUGGAAAGGGUAGGUAGUUACAUACAUAUAUGGUGAAAUUGCCCAAAAAUUAAAAAAACUUUGGGAUCAGAUAUAUAGAUAUGUAUAGAUUUGAUAAGAUUAAAAUUGAUAAAAAAUCCCCCGGCAGCAUUAUUACAUUUGGGUUAGCCAAUCUUGAAACCAUCUCAAUUUUAUCUGGUCGUACACUGCUUUAUGGUCAUAAAGAUUCUGAUGGUGAGAAGAUGGAAUCAAUCUAUGGAAAUUAGUUACAUACAUUUGAAAGAGCAGUUUAUAUUAUAAUUAAGGACAUCAAUUCCUCAGCGAAGAAUAAAAAACUAAGAGAGAACUGUCUUACAAAAGCACUUGCACUUUCAUAGACAUACUUACCCAGAAACGUUUAAUAUGAUUUAUAAUCCCCUAAGGAAGGGGAAGACACUAUUUAUUCCUCCCAGAACUCUUGGCCAAUACUCCUCUCAAUUGUAAUGUGUAAGAGUUUGUCUUGUUAAUGUUUAUAUUUGUAAAGUAUGUUUUUGUAUGUAUUUUGUAUUAUAUGAAUGGAAAAAGAAAAAUAAUAAAAAUGUUUAAGAAAAAAAAAAAAUCACAACCAAUGCAGAACCACACUCAUUGUCUGAGCUGGUUAAGCUGACACUCUGAGCUCUGUUGAGGAGGGGGACAGUCCGCAGAAGCCACCCUCCUGCAUCCAAAAGGUAGGAAAGAAGAGGUGUACAUUGUGACCUACAUGUGUCCGUCUGUGUAUAGAUGUCAGCUUCUCGCCAGCUCUACAUACAAAUACACAUUCACUAAUACAUACUCCAUGCAAAAACAUGCCUGCAUUCAAAUACACAAACACUGCUCAGUGCUAAAUACAACCCUGCAAGGAUGGACAAAUGGUUGAUCCGCAGCUGGAAAAGCAUCGUAAGAGUUGUACAACAGAUGGUGGUGUGGCCACGCUUGUGCACUAGGGCCCUCUCGAUGAUGGUUCUGCCACUGAUCCAUGUACAAUGGUUCAUUGCAGCCUUG
Molecule: non-coding RNA, 1091 nt
Organism: Pelobates cultripes (western spadefoot toad)
Lineage: Eukaryota; Metazoa; Chordata; Amphibia; Anura; Pelobatidae
Source: the annotation of a GenBank genome assembly